Molecule: non-coding RNA, 66 nt
Filed under: Ochrovirga pacifica
Lineage: Bacteria; Pseudomonadati; Bacteroidota; Flavobacteriia; Flavobacteriales; Flavobacteriaceae
Description: S15-Flavobacteria ribosomal protein leader
Rfam family: S15-Flavobacteria ribosomal protein leader
Source: RNAcentral
UAUCUUUGCCGUCCGAUUACCAAAGAGGUAAUUUGCAUUAUAAUUAUUUACAAAAAUAUUAGUAUG